RNAcentral lists this ribosomal RNA (460 nucleotides) under uncultured bacterium. RNAcentral's name for it is "partial 16S ribosomal RNA". It matches the Rfam family "Bacterial small subunit ribosomal RNA", at positions 338 to 795 of the family's 1533-position model. The record is from RNAcentral.
CCUACGGGUGGCAGCAGUGAGGAAUAUUGGUCAAUGGGCGCGAGCCUGAACCAGCCAAGUCGCGUGAAGGAAGACUGCCCUACGGGUUGUAAACUUCGUUUAUAAAGGAAUAAAGUGAGGUACGUGUGCCUUUUUGCACGUACGUUAUGAAUAAGGAUCGGCUAACUCCGUGCCAGCAGCCGCGGUAAUACGGAGGAUCCGUGCGUUGUCCGGAUUUAUUGGGUUUAAAGGGAGCGUAGGUGGGUUGUUAAGUCAGUUGUGAAAGCUUGCGGCUCAACCGGAAAAUUGCAAUUGAUACUGGCAGCCUUGAGUGCAGUUGAGGUAGGCGGAAUUCGUGGUGUAGCGGUGAAAUGCUUAGAUAUCACGAAGAACUCCGAUGGCGAAGGCAGCUUACUAGACUGCAACUGACGUUGAUGCUCGAAAGUGUGGGUAGCAAACAGGAUUAGAUACCCCGGUAGUC